RNAcentral lists this ribosomal RNA (457 nucleotides) under uncultured Sphingobacteriales bacterium. RNAcentral describes it as "bacterial SSU rRNA". It matches the Rfam family "Bacterial small subunit ribosomal RNA", at positions 924 to 1382 of the family's 1533-position model. Lineage: Bacteria; Pseudomonadati; Bacteroidota; Sphingobacteriia; Sphingobacteriales. The record is from RNAcentral.
CACAAGCGGAGGAGCAUGUGGUUAAUUCGAUGAUACGCGAGGAACCUUACCUGGGCUCGAACGUAAGAUGACUGUAGGUGAAAGCUUACAUCUCUUCGGAGCAUUUUACGAGGUGCUGCAUGGUUGUCGUCAGCUCGUGCCGUGAGGUGUCGGGUUAAGUCCCAUAACGAGCGCAACCCCUACCUUUAGUUGCCAUCAGGUUAAGCUGGGGACUCUAAAGGAACUGCCUACGCAAGUAGUGAGGAAGGCGGGGAUGACGUCAAAUCAGCACGGCCCUUACGUCCAGGGCUACACACGUGCUACAAUGGCCGAUACAGAGGGCAGCUACCUGGUGACAGGAUGCAAAUCUCCAAAGUCGGUCUCAGUUCGGAUCGGAGUCUGCAACCCGACUCCGUGAAGUUGGAUUCGCUAGUAAUCGCGCAUCAGCCAUGGCGCGGUGAAUACGUUCCCGGGCCUU